CUUUGAAUACAUUUAUCCUUUCGGUUCUCUUGCAAGUGAGAAGACAAAGCUUUGAGAGGCUGCACUGAGCACUAGACAAUGUCCCAGACCGUGAUCAUCCAGCAACCUAGCUCCGUGGGCUCUGCCGUCAUGUCCCCAACGGGUGACUGGAGCACCGGGAGGCUGUUUAGGUACGUUUUGCCCAGCAAUUCUGGCAUGUUAUGUGGCAAACAAGUAUGGAGAGAACUGCUGCCUUGGCAUCACUAUUGGAGGCAUGACGGCGCUGCGAACUCACAUGCGUCUCUCUUACGGCAUCCAGG
Dermochelys coriacea (leatherback sea turtle) is the source of this 299-nucleotide long non-coding RNA. RefSeq lists it as uncharacterized. Lineage: Eukaryota; Metazoa; Chordata; Testudines; Dermochelyidae. The transcript has 3 exons. The record is from RefSeq and is a predicted model, not a curated record.